CAGCAGCCACGGUAAUACGGAGGGUGCAAGCGUUAUCCGGAUUUAUUGGGUUUAAAGGGUCCGUAGGCGGACUUAUAAGUCAGUGGUGAAAGCCUGUCGCUUAACGAUAGAACUGCCAUUGAUACUGUAAGUCUUGAGUAUAUUUGAGGUAGCUGGAAUAAGUAGUGUAGCGGUGAAAUGCAUAGAUAUUACUUAGAACACCAAUUGCGAAGGCAGGUUACCAAGAUAUAACUGACGCUGAGGGACGAAAGCGUGGGUAGCGAACAGGAUUAGAUACCCCCGUAGUCCCUGUCUCUUAUAA
This 301-nucleotide ribosomal RNA is filed under the name uncultured bacterium. Its description in RNAcentral is "partial 16S ribosomal RNA". It matches the Rfam family "Bacterial small subunit ribosomal RNA", at positions 509 to 809 of the family's 1533-position model. The record is from RNAcentral.